This is a long non-coding RNA of Aptenodytes forsteri (emperor penguin), 597 nucleotides long. RefSeq lists it as uncharacterized. The transcript is spliced from 2 exons. The record is from RefSeq and is a predicted model, not a curated record. Lineage: Eukaryota; Metazoa; Chordata; Aves; Sphenisciformes; Spheniscidae.
AGAUUUGACGUGUAGACCAGUAAGACUGUCAGCCUCCCAGGGAAAAGAGACAACUUGAAGUCAGCGAUGAUACUCUGACUGUGACCCUGUUUGAAACUGCAUGUGUGCAUUUGGGCCUGAUUCAGAUCUCACUACUCUGUACAUGAGGAGUAACUGCAUUGAGUCGAUGGUUUUACACCAGGAUAGAGUUGCUAUGAAGUGAGUAUCCAACAGCGUCAGCGGACAGUACAGGACCAAAGAGCCCAGGAACCGCCAUGUAUGGAACAACACCUUGCUUCUUUUUCUCGAGGAUACAAUUUCCCACUGGAGACUCAAAAUUCAUGUGUUAGGAACAACAGAUUAUUUAUUCCUAAACCUCAUUCUUCCAUCAGAUCACAAGAUUAUUAUUAAAAAUUAAUUGAAUAUUAGAAAGCCUAUUUGUCCAGUCACGUACACCUCUGUAAAGCUAAAUACUUGUACAAUGCUUCUUACCACUAACCUGCUGCGUACUUCAUCUGCUUCUGUAACACUGCAACAAAAGAUACAUCCUGUGAAAUUUUACUUGUAGCCUCACUGGAUCAUGAGAAAUAUUCCCUUAAUAAAGGAUGUCUCUGAAUC